RNAcentral lists this ribosomal RNA (356 nucleotides) under uncultured Sphingobacteriales bacterium. Its description in RNAcentral is "bacterial SSU rRNA". It matches the Rfam family "Bacterial small subunit ribosomal RNA", at positions 1027 to 1382 of the family's 1533-position model. The record is from RNAcentral. Lineage: Bacteria; Pseudomonadati; Bacteroidota; Sphingobacteriia; Sphingobacteriales.
CUUUCUGCAAGGUGCUGCAUGGUUGUCGUCAGCUCGUGCCGUGAGGUGUCGGGUUAAGUCCCAUAACGAGCGCAACCCUUAUCGUUAGUUGCCAUCUGGUAAUGCAGGGGACUCUAGCGAAACUGCCACCGUAAGGUGAGAGGAAGGUGGGGAUGACGUCAAAUCAGCACGGCCCUUAUGUCCAGGGCUACACACGUGUUACAAUGGUCGGUACAGAGGGCAGCUACCUGGUGACAGGAUGCUAAUCUCGAAAACCGGUCUCAGUUCGGAUCGAAGUCUGCAACUCGACUUCGUGAAGCUGGAUUCGCUAGUAAUCGCGCAUCAGCUAUGGCGCGGUGAAUACGUUCCCGGGCCUU